This is a long non-coding RNA of Nymphalis io (European peacock), 425 nucleotides long. RefSeq lists it as uncharacterized. Lineage: Eukaryota; Metazoa; Arthropoda; Insecta; Lepidoptera; Nymphalidae. The record is from RefSeq and is a predicted model, not a curated record. The transcript has 3 exons.
UAUUAAAAUUGAGAAAAUAAAAUAACGAGUUUGAUUUGCAAUAAAUGUGAUAUGAGUUUUAAUUUUUAAUCACAUCGCAACACAGAGUUAUAUUCUUUAGUUAUAUAUGUACUAGUAAAAUACGGCAGAAAUUAAAUAGCCUAUAAAUUAAACCAACUGGGAUGACGAUUGGCUGAGCUGUCUAGUUUAUGUGCUACAGCACCAUCUAGUACUAUGUAACAAAAGAGUAUCCAGGUGGACCGAUGACUUGAAGAAAACAACGAUUGAUCCGAUUAGAUGCGAAAGAUGGAGAAAUCUCUGAACUACUCGCUUUCAAGUUUUUGUUCUUGUAUACUGGUUGUAAUAAAAUUGAUUAAGACAGUAGAUCAAGAAGUAAAUCAAAUUAUAAAGACAUUCUUCGACAAGAAAAUCGGAAUUAAUUCAAC